AGAGUUUGAUCCUGGCUCAGGAUGAACGCUGGCGGCGUGCCUAAUACAUGCAAGUCGAACGCACAGCGAAAGGUGCUUGCACCUUUCAAGUGAGUGGCGAACGGGUGAGUAGCACGUGGAUAACCUACCUCAAGGUUGGGGAUAACAUUUGGAAACAGAUGCUAAUACCGAAUAAAACUUCGUAUCGCAUGAUACAAGGUUAAAAGGCGCUACGGCGUCACCUAGAGAUGGAUCCGCGGUGCAUUAGUUAGUUGGUGGGGUAAAGGCCUACCAAGACAAUGAUGCAUAGCCGAGUUGAGAGACUGAUCGGCCACAUUGGGACUGAGACACGGCCCAAACUCCUACGGGAGGCUGCAGUAGGGAAUCUUCCACAAUGGGCGAAAGCCUGAUGGAGCAACGCCGCGUGUGUGAUGAAGGCUUUCGGGUCGUAAAGCACUGUUGUAUGGGAAGAACAGCUAGAGUAGGGAAUGACUUUAGUUUGACGGUACCAUACCAGAAAGGGACGGCUAAAUACGUGCCAGCAGCCGCGGUAAUACGUAUGUCCCGAGCGUUAUCCGGAUUUAUUGGGCGUAAAGCGAGCGCAGACGGUUGAUUAAGUCUGAUGUGAAAGCCCGGAGCUCAACUCCGGAAAGGCAUUGGAAACUGGUCAACUUGAGUGCAGUAGAGGUAAGUGGAACUCCAUGUGUAGCGGUGGAAUGCGUAGGUAUAUGGAAGAACACCAGCGGCGAAGGCGGCUUACUGAACUGUAACUGACGUUGAGGCUCGAAAGUGUGGGUAGCAAACAGGAUUAGAUACCCUGGUAGUCCACACCGUAAACGAUGAACACUAGGUGUUAGGAGGUUUCCGCCUCUUA
RNAcentral lists this ribosomal RNA (853 nucleotides) under uncultured bacterium. RNAcentral describes it as "bacterial SSU rRNA". It matches the Rfam family "Bacterial small subunit ribosomal RNA", at positions 8 to 842 of the family's 1533-position model. The record is from RNAcentral.